RNAcentral lists this ribosomal RNA (466 nucleotides) under uncultured bacterium. RNAcentral's name for it is "bacterial SSU rRNA". It matches the Rfam family "Bacterial small subunit ribosomal RNA", at positions 328 to 792 of the family's 1533-position model. The record is from RNAcentral.
UUCCCAGACUCCUACGGGAGGCAGCAGUGAGGAAUAUUGGUCAAUGGUCGGGAGACUGAACCAGCCAAGCCGCGUGAGGGAGGAAGGUACAGAGUAUCGUAAACCUCUUUUGUCAGGGAACAAAGACUGGGACGCGUCCCCGGAUGAGUGUACCUGAAGAAAAAGCAUCGGCUAACUCCGUGCCAGCAGCCGCGGUAAUACGGAGGAUGCGAGCGUUAUCCGGAUUUAUUGGGUUUAAAGGGUGCGCAGGCGGUCUGUUAAGUCAGCGGUCAAAGCCCGGGGCUCAACCCCGUACUGCCGUUGAAACUGCAUCCCUUGAGUGCGCGAGAAGUAUGCGGAAUGCGUGGUGUAGCGGUGAAAUGCAUAGAUAUCACGCAGAACUCCGAUUGCGAAGGCAGCAUACCGGCGCGCAACUGACGCUCAUGCACGAAAGCGUGGGUAUCGAACAGGAUUAGAUACCCCAGUA